AUCCUUACUGACGAUGGUGAUCAUUGGAGGUAUAAAUACUGAAGGAUACGUCAUUUACAGACAAGAUCUUUGAAGUUUAUUUCCUUCAGACAGCAGUGGAAGAAGAGGCUAAAAUCAAAACAUAACAGACAGAAAAAUAUAAAGACUAGAAGAAACAGCACUUCACUUUUUCUUUCCAAAAAUUCAGAGAACCACCAAAAUCUGGUGGAUUACCUCCACCGAUCUUCUGGAUUUGAGAUGUAA
RNAcentral lists this long non-coding RNA (243 nucleotides) under Chrysolophus pictus (golden pheasant). RNAcentral's name for it is "lncRNA (ENSCPIG00010014828.1)". Lineage: Eukaryota; Metazoa; Chordata; Aves; Galliformes; Phasianidae. The record is from RNAcentral.